Molecule: ribosomal RNA, 253 nt
Filed under: uncultured bacterium
Lineage: Bacteria
Description: partial 16S ribosomal RNA
Rfam family: Bacterial small subunit ribosomal RNA
Source: RNAcentral
UACGUAGGGCGCAAGCGUUAUCCGGAAUUAUUGGGCGUAAAGAGCUCGUAGGCGGUUUGUCGCGUCGAAUGUGAAAACCCACGGCUCAACUGUGGGCUUGCAUUCGAUACGGGCAGGCUAGAGUUCGGUAGGGGAGACUGGAAUUCCUGGUGUAGCGGUGAAAUGCGCAGAUAUCAGGAGGAACACCGGUGGCGAAGGCGGGUCUCUGGGCCGAUACUGACGCUGAGGAGCGAAAGCGUGGGGAGCGAACAGG